This 71-nucleotide transfer RNA is filed under the name Cryptactites peringueyi. RNAcentral describes it as "tRNA-Cys". The record is from RNAcentral. Lineage: Eukaryota; Metazoa; Chordata; Lepidosauria; Squamata; Gekkonidae.
UAGUCCUGGGGCGGAGAGACGCACCAAAAUGCAAAUUUGGAGAAGCACCCCAUAAAGGGUGCCGGGGCUUC